RNAcentral lists this ribosomal RNA (516 nucleotides) under uncultured bacterium. Its description in RNAcentral is "bacterial SSU rRNA". It matches the Rfam family "Bacterial small subunit ribosomal RNA", at positions 352 to 859 of the family's 1533-position model. The record is from RNAcentral.
CAGUGGGGAAUAUUGGACAAUGGGCGCAAGCCUGAUCCAGCAAUGCCGCGUGUGUGAAGAAGGCCUUCGGGUUGUAAAGCACUUUUAUCAGGAGCGAAAUACCAUCGGCUAAUACCCGGUGGGGCUGACGGUACCUGAGGAAUAAGCACCGGCUAACUUCGUGCCAGCAGCCGCGGUAAUACGAAGGGUGCAAGCGUUAAUCGGAAUUACUGGGCGUAAAGCGUGCGUAGGCGGUUUUUUAAGUCUGCUGUGAAAUCCCCGGGCUCAACCUGGGAAUGGCAGUGGAUACUGGAAAGCUAGAGUGUGAUAGAGGAUGGUGGAAUUCCCGGUGUAGCGGUGAAAUGCGUAGAGAUCGGGAGGAACAUCAGUGGCGAAGGCGGCCAUCUGGAUCAACACUGACGCUGAGGCACGAAAGCGUGGGGAGCAAACAGGAUUAGAUACCCUGGUAGUCCACGCCCUAAACGAUGCGAACUGGAUGUUGGUCUCAACUCGGAGAUCAGUGUCGAAGCUAACGCG